RNAcentral lists this long non-coding RNA (3364 nucleotides) under Cottoperca gobio. Its description in RNAcentral is "lncRNA (ENSCGOG00000023454.1)". The record is from RNAcentral. Lineage: Eukaryota; Metazoa; Chordata; Actinopteri; Perciformes; Bovichtidae.
UCGUAUCUAUCUCUAAAUGGCCAAUUCAAUAUGCCCCCCCCCCUGUGAGUAACAUACUUUAUUUUCUUUGUUUUAAGAGAAAAGAAACAGGGGUGGGAGUUCACCUUUGUUCCACUGACAUUUGGCUUCUUAAAAAGCAGCAGAGUGGGACCUCGCGCAGCUACUCCACUAAACUGGAGUGACAUAAUCACCACGCCUCCUUCCGUCACGCUCUCCCGGUCUGCUGCUGCUGCUUCUACUACUACAUUGAUUUACAGUUUGUAUAAAUGUAACUCUCUCUCACCAAUUAGGUGAAUGUGAGGAGGCGAGAAAUACACUUGUUCUGAACCCCAUUAGCAGGUGACCUCUGUUAGUGUUACUCAACCACAUUGUUGUGUAACACAUACAUUGUUGGUAUGCAUGUUAGCUAAUGUUUGCUAACCGCACUGUCGGGUAUAGGAGCUGUAUAGAUAGUUAGUUACCUAUUUAUUUAACAAGCUCGUUUCUGGGUUCAGUGUAUUGGCAAAUGUUUUCCCAAGUGCGAGCACGUUUGGGCUCAUGUUUGACCAGGUUUCCCAGUUGUGUAAACUCAAGAGUGGCACCUGCCCUCUGCAGACAUCAGCAUCGGACCUUCAGCUCGGAGUGUCAAGGUGUCAAGGUGCUGUAUGAUGGGCUUUGUCCCAUAUGUGUGACAGAGAUCCGGUUCCUUCAGUUUAUGCAGAGAAACCAGCCCGGGAAAGUAGACUUUAUUGAUAUCUCCCUACCAGACUAUGAUGCAGAGAAAAACAAGGAUGUCAGCUACGAGAUGGCCAUGGAGGAAAUGCAUGUGAUUGAUGGGAAAGACGAGGUAAACUUACAUUCAACUGGCUUUACUGGGACUGUAAUAUUCUGCAUGUCAAGUUGUCAUUUUGUAUUUCUUUUGCACAUUAGCCUUAAUGUAGUAUUGUGUGGAUAACAUUCUGUAUUGGCAGGUUCACCGUGGGAUCCCAGCUUUUGCAGUCAUGUACAGUGCAGUGGGCCUUGGCUGGUUGGGUCGCCUCAUGAUGUGGUCACCUGUGAGGCCAUUCAUGGACAAGUCCUAUACUGUCUUUGCCAAGAAUCGCUUAAAGUGGACCGGACGUGGGGAAGAGUGCAUUAAAGGACGCUGUGAAAAGAAAACACACUGACUUUUGACUACAGAAAAAAAUAAAUAAUGUCUAUUAAGUUCAUUGGUAAAGAAAAACUCAGUGUAACUCAGUCUGUUUGUUCUAAUGUGAACACUGGUUAGAGGACUCAAAAAUAUUGAGCCUAACCAUAACAAACGGUGCAGAGAAAAUGCUUUACUUCCAGAGACGAAGAGUAAUGAUGAUACUUAAUACAAGACUGUCAUACUAUGACAAAUAUACAGAACGGAGAAAAUCACUGAAGCAAAAUGCAGUCAAUUUCCUGUCGCGCACAGCCUCUCAGAUUGAGGUUCUUUUUAAAAGCAGAUAGAGAACCAAACUGUCAGGAAGCUGCCACUAGAUGUCAUUGUAAGUCUAAAAUAAUAUCAGCCGUGAGUGAAAUUGUUCUUCAGGAAUCGUGUCGUAUGACAUUCAUGAUUAUUUGCCAGGUCAUGAUUGACUUGUUCAUUUAAAGUUGCCUUGUAACAGAUACAAGCAGAAAUGAUAGGUGAAAUAAAUAUUUAGUGUUUCUGACGGUAAAGGAAAAUUAAAAAAUAAAACUGACUAAAUUGACAUUUAUAUUUUAUGUUACACUUUUAAGUAAUUUCUGUUUGCAGGUGAAAGUAUUCAGACUUUUUAAUCUCAGGUGCCUCUUUAUAGUGAGCAUGUUUCAUCAACAAUACAGUGCAAUGCAGAGCAGUGUGCGCUCCUCAGAGGUUUAAUAAACUGGCUGUAGGACAGUAAUGUUGACUGAACAUAUUCUAUGAUAUAAGGAAGACUUAUUUUUUAUUAUCCUUUUAUUUUCCACAACUGAAAUGCAUUUCAGGUAAGGCUUUAUAGUCCAGCCUGCAAAUUACUGGAGACUUAUUUAUAUAUUGCACAGGAUAUAAAAAGAUAACAAUGGGGUAACUGUAUGGAAAUGGAAUUAUUUACACUAUAAUUUAUUUUAAAAUGAUACAUUUACGAGAAAACAAAAAAAAGAUAAUUUACCUAUUGGGCUCAAAGGUUAUUAAAAUCAUGAUUAGAUACUGGGCUGUAAAAUAAUCUGUAAAUACAAAACGGGUUCACUGUAAUCUGAAACAUUUUAUUAUAUAGCACUACAGACGUGCUAUUGUUUUGUAUCACAUGUUGUGGCAUGUGCACAGUCUUAAGAGGCAGGUGUGUGUUGUGAUCUAUGAAGCCGCUAACAUCAGCUGACUGAGACCCUUGAGUCUCCCCCCCCCCCCCCCUAAUUUUAGGCUUGUGCUUCCAAUCAUGCAGUCAACAAUCACAGCACAUGUCUUUAAGCCUGUGUGGUCUUACAAAGCAGUGGUCAUGCUUCUCCGCCCCCCCAGCCCAGCUCAACCAAUGAGAUUAAAGUAUUGCACGGAAGAAGGGUUGAACUAAGAAUCAAAACACAGAACACAUAGUAGUUCUGACAGUUUGUCUAAAGUGGUGUAGUGGAUUUUAAAAAUUGAGACUUGGUUGAAGAGGAAUUGUGAAGACGGAAGAACUAGGUGUUGCGUUUUCAGGUGAAUAUUCAGUGUAAGCUUUUUAUCUGACAUCUCCUGUCAAGGUUAGAGUAGCUAUAAGCUACUUUGGUUCAUGACCUUUCCCCACUUAAGUGGAAAACCACCAUAGUAGAUGUAUAUGACUAAUGCAUAGCCAAGCUGUUUACCUGUCUUCUUGUAAAGGCACCACAUAGAGUUAAUAAUUGCAACAGUAAUUCAGUGUAUUCGUAUUUGCUAAGAAUAUAUGAGCAACUAUGUGCAAAACAGUUUUCUUCUGUCACAUCGUAUACAGUAAAUCUAUUGGCAGCAAGAGGAGUUAUUUACAGGUCAUGUUCACUGAUGUAUUUGCUCAUAGGUUUCAUGUUACAUUCAUAAAGAGACACAGUUCUAGGAAAAGGUGGACGUGCAAGGUUGUUGUGGAACAUAAUGUUUGUACACAAUCAGCUCUCCCUGAAAGCGCACACACUCAGUUAUGAGUGACAUUUAAUCUUUUCCUCCGAACAGAGGAGAUAUAGUAACUUAACUGAUGCUUGGACACAUUUGAUUUUAACUGAAGUGUGCGCUUUUUGUUUCGCAAGGUCAUUCAUUUGUUGAAAUGUUGUGUUUAAUAUAAAUGAAUGAAUUUAAACUAACAUAAUUUGCAUGUGGUUUACUAUGGAGUAUGACUACUUCUAACUUUGGUGAUCCCCUAACUUUUACUCGAGCGCCCCCAGCAAGAUGACACUCUUUGUUGUUUAAUUAAAUGUCUACAAU